GAGUUUGAUCAUGGCUCAGGAUGAACGCUAGCGGGAGGCUUAACACAUGCAAGUCGAGGGGCAGCAUUUCUAGCUUGCUAGAAGAUGGCGACCGGCGGACGGGUGCGUAACGCGUAUGCAACUUGCCUAUAACUUAGGGAUAACUUGGAGAAAUCCUUGCUAAUAUCUAAUGUGAUCAAAGAUUCGCAUGUUUUUUUGAUUAAAGAAUUUCGGUUAUAGAUAGGCAUGCGUCCUAUUAGCUAGUUGGUAAGGUAAUGGCUUACCAAGGCGACGAUAGGUAGGGGGCCUGAGAGGGUGAUCCCCCACACUGGUACUGAGACACGGACCAGACUCCUACGGGAGGCAGCAGUGAGGAAUAUUGGUCAAUGGAGGCAACUCUGAACCAGCCAUCCCGCGUGAAGGAUUGAAGGCGCUCGACGUCGUAAACUUCUUUUAUAUAGGAAUAAACUUAGGUACGUGUACUUAAUUGAAUGUACUAUAUGAAUAAGCAUCGGCUAACUCCGUGCCAGCGGCCGCGGUAAUACGGUGGAUGCAAGCGUUAUCCGGAUUUAUUGGGUUUAAAGGGUCCGCAGGCGGACCAGUCAGUCAGUGGUGAAAUCCCAUCGCUCAACGAUGGAACUGCCAUUGAUACUGCUGGUCUUGAGUCUAGUUGACGUAGGCGGAAUAUGACAUGUAGCGGUGAAAUGCAUAGAUAUGUCAUAGAACACCGAUUGCGAAGGCAGCUUACGAAACUACGACUGACGCUCAUGGACGAAAGCGUGGGUAGCGAACAGGAUUAGAUACCCUGGUAGUCCACGCCGUAAACGAUGAUCACUCGAUGUCAGCGAUAUACAGUUGGUGUCUUAGCGAAAGUUUUAAGUGAUCCACCUGGGGAGUACGUUCGCAAGAAUGAAACUCAAAGGAAUUGACGGGGGCCCGCACAAGCGGUGGAGCAUGUGGUUUAAUUCGAUGCAACGCGAAGAACCUUACCAGGGCUUGACAUACUGUGAAUCACUAUGAAAAUAGCCGAGCCGAAAGGCACAGAUACAGGUGGUGCAUGGCUGUCGUCAGCUCGUGUCGUGAGAUGUUGGGUUAAGUCCCGCAACGAGCGCAACCCUUAUCCUCAGUUACCUUUUAGGAACCUGAGGAGACUGCCGGUGUUAAGCCGGAGGAAGGUGAGGACGACGUCAAGUCAUCAUGCCCCUUAUGCCCUGGGCUACUCACGUGCUACAAUGGAUAGGACAAUGGGAUGCCACCCUGCGAAGGCGAGCUAACCCCAAAAACCUAUUCUUAGUUCGGAUUGUAGGCUGCAACUCGCCUACAUGAAGCUGGAAUCGCUAGUAAUCGCUGGUCAGCUAUACAGCGGUGAAUACGUUCUCGGGUCUUGUACACACCGCCCGUCACACCAUGGAAAUUGGCUAUACCCAAAAUCGUGACCCUAACCUUUGGAUGGGAGCGCUUAAGGUAGAGCCAGUAACUAGGGUGAAGUCGUAACAAGGUAACC
This 1483-nucleotide ribosomal RNA is filed under the name uncultured marine bacterium. RNAcentral describes it as "bacterial SSU rRNA". It matches the Rfam family "Bacterial small subunit ribosomal RNA". The record is from RNAcentral.